GAUAAACGCUGACAGAAUGCUUAACACAUGCAAGUCUACUUGAAUUUGGGUUUUUAACUUACAUUUGGGUGGCGGACGGGUGAGUAACGCGUAAAGAACUUGCCUCACAGCUAGGGACAACAUUUAGAAAUGAAUGCUAAUACCUAAUAUUAUGAUAAUAGGGCAUCCUAUAAUUAUGAAAGCUAUAAGCGCUGUGAGAGAGCUUUGCGUCCCAUUAGCUAGUUGGAGAGGUAACGGCUCACCAAGGCGAUGAUGGGUAGCCGGCCUGAGAGGGUGAUCGGCCACAAGGGGACUGAGACCCGGCCCUUACUCCUACGGGAGGCAGCAGUGGGGAAUAUUGGACAAUGGACCCAGAGUCUGAUCCAGCAAUUCUGUGUGCACGAUGAAGUUUUCUGAAUGUAAACUGCUUUCAGUUGGGAAGAAAAAAAUGACGGUACCAACAGAAGAAGCGACGGCUAAAUACCUGCCAGCAGCCGCGGCAUACGUAUGUCACGAGCGUUAUCCGGAUUUAUUGGGCGUAGAGCGCGCCUAUGUUGUUAUAUAAGUCUGAUGUGAAAAUGCAGGGUUCAACUCUGUAUUGCGUUGGAAACUGUUUUACUCUAUUUCUGGAGAGGUUAGCCCAACUACCAGUGUCGAGGUGACUUUUAAAUAUUUCUCCUGCACGCCGACGGGGAACCCGCUUACUGGACUCAUACUGACGCUGAACUCUCUAGCGUGCGUCGCCACACGUAUGUACAUAUCUGUAUUUCAAGGGGCAAUUCUCUUUUGGUCUUUUUUUGUCAUCUCCCUAUCUUUUUGGGGUCUCGGCCUAACAACACUCCCUCUUCUAUGGUGUCCAUUUAUGUGGGGGGGGGGGUGGGGGG
This 863-nucleotide ribosomal RNA is filed under the name uncultured Porphyromonas sp. RNAcentral describes it as "bacterial SSU rRNA". The stretch from base 1 to 724 matches the Rfam family "Bacterial small subunit ribosomal RNA", at positions 28 to 873 of the family's 1533-position model. Lineage: Bacteria; Pseudomonadati; Bacteroidota; Bacteroidia; Bacteroidales; Porphyromonadaceae. The record is from RNAcentral.